GCCUGUGGAUAAAAGGCCUUUGUCAUUGACUUGUAAUCAGUAGGUCCCGGGUUCGAUUCCUGGUGCCGGCACCA
RNAcentral lists this transfer RNA (74 nucleotides) under Pseudomonas sp. WS 5011. RNAcentral describes it as "tRNA-Thr". Lineage: Bacteria; Pseudomonadati; Pseudomonadota; Gammaproteobacteria; Pseudomonadales; Pseudomonadaceae. The record is from RNAcentral. RNAcentral also lists the same sequence under 1 other name.